AUUGAACGCUGGCGGCAUGCCUUACACAUGCAAGUCGAACGGCAGCACGGGAGCAAUCCUGGUGGCGAGUGGCGAACGGGUGAGUAAAGUAUCGGAACGUGCCCAGUCGUGGGGGAUAACGUAGCGAAAGUUACGCUAAUACCGCAUACGAUCUAUGGAUGAAAGCGGGGGAUCUCACGACCUCGCGCGAUUGGAGCGGCCGAUAUCAGAUUAGGUAGUUGGUGGGGUAAAGGCUCACCAAGACGACGAUCUGUAGCUGGUCUGAGAGGACGACCAGCCACACUGGGACUGAGACACGGCCCAGACUCCUACGGGAGGCAGCAGUGGGGAAUUUUGGACAAUGGGCGAAAGCCUGAUCCAGCCAUGCCGCGUGCAGGAUGAAGGCCUUCGGGUUGUAAACUGCUUUUGUACGGAACGAAAAGGUUUGGCCUAAUAAGCUGAGCUCAUGACGGUACCGUAAGAAUAAGCACCGGCUAACUACGUGCCAGCCGCCGCAGUAA
This 500-nucleotide ribosomal RNA is filed under the name uncultured bacterium. RNAcentral describes it as "partial 16S ribosomal RNA". It matches the Rfam family "Bacterial small subunit ribosomal RNA", at positions 30 to 523 of the family's 1533-position model. The record is from RNAcentral.